Molecule: long non-coding RNA, 196 nt
Organism: Poecilia latipinna (sailfin molly)
Lineage: Eukaryota; Metazoa; Chordata; Actinopteri; Cyprinodontiformes; Poeciliidae
Exons: 3
Source: RefSeq, a predicted model, not a curated record
GAUGGAGAAAGUAAGGAGGAAAUUUGUGUAUUUAGAGGACACUGUAAAAAUAGUAUUAAAAUUAAGUUUGGAACUACUUAAACGUUUGAGUUGAUUUUCUGUAGAAUUAAGUCAAAGAGAUUUAAAAUGUUCAUUAGAAGAAAAAUGAUUAAGUAAGAGUGACUUACAUUUAUCAUGUUAAACCCCCUUAUGAGUU